AUGAAGAUAUUCUUCGUUAUUAUCAAAUAAUACAUAGCAAUACCGAACAAAAACCAAAUUUUUUGAUGGUGGGAGAAUGCAUCUCUGAGUUGGGAGGACGCAAUAAAAAUUCCAGCCACAGAAACAAAAAACGUCUGGCUUUUCUCACGAUUGAUCUCAUAUUCCCAUUUAUGCUAGGGUCGGCCACACUUCACAUACUCUCCCUGGUCAUUCACGGUUCAUCUCCCAGCUGCACCUCACACGCCUCUCCUCUCAGCCGACCAAUCCAGCCCAAGCCAUGUCGUCAACAUCCGCUGCUGCCAUCUCCAUCUAUAUCAGGUUUUGGGGCCAGAGCAUGGAAGUGGAAGGAAAAACAGGAGUAAAUAGUAAGGAUUCCGCAUAUCAAAGAUAUAAUACAUAGCAGGCUGCUAGGUGGAUUGAUCAGAAACUUUUGGCCGACAAUAACCCUUACCAAUUGAAGUCAUGGUACUAUGGUUGUCUCACCCACCUAGUGCUAAAAUGGGACUGGUUUACAGAUUUGACUCAGCCAAUGUCCUCCUAGAUUUUUGCUGAUCCAUAUUGGUUUAAACAAGAGGGUUCCAAGCUUUUCCAUAUGAUAUGGCAUAAAAGUAUUCCUUUUACAGGUAUCUAUUUUUAUCUGGGGAAUUUUAUAUAAGCUUAUUCCUACGGAUGAUAAUUUGAUUAAAAGAGGCUUUAUCCUUCCAUCUAAAUGCCAAUGUUGUUUUUAUGUGGACAAUAUGCAUCAUAUUUUCGUUUCUAGUCCUUUCGCGACCAAAGUUUGGACUUAUUUUGAUGACAUUUUUCAUUUAAAUUAUUUUUCUGCUAUGGGCUCUAUUAAUGCUUUGCUUAACUGUUGGUUUGUUAAAUUCAAAGGCCAUAUCAGAAAUGUUAUUCCUUCCCAUAUCCUUUGGUAUUUAUGGUUGGAUAGGAACAAUUCCUGUUUCAAUGCGGUGGUUAUGAACCAUCAUAAAAUUAUUCAAAAUAUUAAGGAAAGGUUGUGGAACUUUAUUCUGCUAAGUUAGUUUCAGUCAAGAAUUUCAAAAACUACUCUACUGCGGUUGAUUUAGGUAUUAACUUGGAGGUGGAUAUUCUUCAUAAAAGUUCUAGGUGUAUUUCUGGGAUGAUGUCUCCUUCCAACUAUCUUAAGUUCAAUGUUGAUGGUGCUAGAAUGAACUCUUUUGUGGGCUAUGGUGGUGUCAUCAGGGACACUAAUGGUAAUUAUAUUUUGGGUUUUGCUAGUCCUUUACUUAAUUAUGAUGUCCAUUUUGCUACUACCUAUGCCAUUCUUCAUGGCUUAAGACUUUGUUUUAGUCUUAAUUACAUUAAUAUUUUGGUGGAGGUUGGUUCUAAUUACUGCUAUCAGUCUUUUAAUUCUAGGGAGGAUACUGUUUAUUCCUCUACAUUGUUUUAUACAAGGAGGGACAUUAAGAACUUAUUGAGCCUUUUAAAUUGCUCUUUUUAUGUUCUUCUUGAGGAGGGCAAUGCUUGCGCUCAUUUGAUUACCAGGUGGGGCUAUGGGUUUGAUUAUAUGGCCGAGUUUUUUGUUUCUAAUCUUCCUUUUCUUAUGAAAGGCCUCUUAAGAUUGGAUAAGAUUGGUUUACCUCAUGUUAACUCUUAAUGGUGAUGUGGGUGUUGGUUUUUGGUGGAGUUGGCUGUGCUUUUUUCCACGCUUCGUGUUUCUAUUGUUUGGAUUGUGAGUUUUUCUUUCUCUGGUGGCAGUGGGUUCUGUUUGGUUGUUCUGCUUUAUGGCCGUUUGGUCCCUUCUGCUGUUGCUUGGGGGGCCUUAUUUUAUAUGUUGGCUGGAUUAACUUCUUCCUGAAUGUGUUAUUCUAUAAGUUGCUGGAGUGGUUUUUGUGCUGCUUAUUGGUGCCCAUUUUUAUCUAUUUUUUGGGUCGCCUGUGCGUGUGGUUGGUGGCUUUCUGGAAUAUUCUUUAUGGUCCUUUUUAUUUGCCUUCCUGGAGUAGCUUUAGAUGCAUUGAUAGUGUUGAAUUUUAUGCUUUAGUGAAGUAUCUCAUCCUUUUAUUUCUUUGUUUUUGUUUGGAUGACAUUGAGCUAUAUUGCUAUUGUUGGAUGAGUUUUUUGGGUGGUUCUGGGCUGUUUUCCCUUGAUCAAUUCUGGGACCCAUGGUUCAUUUCGGUUGCUAGCCUUUAUGCUUCUCUUACCUGCAGCACUUUCCCCCAUAGUCUUCUUGCUCGGACAUUUACCUGGAGCCUUAGCAUGGAUAUCUGGUUGGUUAAUCUGUUUAUGGGGAGAUGGCUUUAGCUCUCCCAUCUCUCGGGUUUCUGGUACUCUAUUCUUUCCAGGUGGCUAUUUUCCCUUUUGGAUUAUCAUUAGCCUGGAUUAUUAGAGAUGUACACUGUUGGUAAUACUUCUUGCAUUAAUACUGUUCCUGUUAUCUUUAUUUAUGAGGAGGUUGUGGUUUGUUUGUGUUAUUCUACUGAUGGUGAUUGGACUUAUAUAAUUGUUCCCUGUUUACCUAUUUUAUAUAUAACAACCAUAUCUCUUGGAAUUAUCACCUUGCUAGAUAUUAUUAUUUUUUGUGCUAUUUUUUUCGUGGCCUUCACCUUCUUUUGCAGGAUUUUAUUAGUGCAGGUACUCGUGGUGAUGAUUUUUUGGAUAGGAAGAUGGAGUUCAAAGCUAUUUUUUGGUGUAUUCCUUCUUUUUGGGUGCUCUUACUUGUGCACCGUAGAAUGUAUCUAGGUAUUAAUGUACUUUUGCCUAGUUGGGAUCUUGAGCUCAUGGAUUUUUUUGGUUUUAAUUUUGUAGCUCUUUUGAGCAUUAAUGAGCUCGAGGUCCCUUUAAGGACUUUGUAAUUUUUUUCCUAUAUUAACAUGUCGGCCCCUCUUUGGGUU
Long non-coding RNA from Dendrobium catenatum, 2852 nucleotides. RefSeq lists it as uncharacterized. The transcript has 3 exons. Lineage: Eukaryota; Viridiplantae; Streptophyta; Magnoliopsida; Asparagales; Orchidaceae. The record is from RefSeq and is a predicted model, not a curated record.